RNAcentral lists this transfer RNA (77 nucleotides) under Candidatus Zixiibacteriota bacterium. RNAcentral describes it as "tRNA-Val". It matches the Rfam family "tRNA". From Rfam's summary of the family: Transfer RNA (tRNA) molecules are approximately 80 nucleotides in length. Their secondary structure includes four short double-helical elements and three loops (D, anti-codon, and T loops). RNAcentral also lists the same sequence under 2 other names. The record is from RNAcentral. Lineage: Bacteria; Pseudomonadati; Candidatus Zixiibacteriota.
GGGCGCUUAGCUCAGAUGGUUAGAGCGCCUGCCUUACAAGCAGGAGGUCACUGGUUCGAAUCCAGUAGUGCCCACCA